RNAcentral lists this transfer RNA (72 nucleotides) under Thermoleophilia bacterium. RNAcentral describes it as "tRNA-Val". It matches the Rfam family "tRNA". From Rfam's summary of the family: Transfer RNA (tRNA) molecules are approximately 80 nucleotides in length. Their secondary structure includes four short double-helical elements and three loops (D, anti-codon, and T loops). Further hydrogen bonds mediate the characteristic L-shaped molecular structure. tRNAs have two regions of fundamental functional importance: the anti-codon, which is responsible for specific mRNA codon recognition, and the 3' end, to which the tRNAs corresponding amino acid is attached (by aminoacyl-tRNA synthetases). tRNAs cope with the degeneracy of the genetic code in two manners: having more than one tRNA (with a specific anti-codon) for a particular amino acid; and 'wobble' base-pairing, i.e. permitting non-standard base-pairing at the 3rd anti-codon position. Lineage: Bacteria; Bacillati; Actinomycetota; Thermoleophilia. The record is from RNAcentral.
UGGCGCGUAGCUCAGCGGGAGAGCGCUCGGUUUACACCCGAGAGGUCGCGGGUUCGACACCCGCCGCGCCAA